AAUUUUAUUUAAGGUCUGACCUGCCCUAUGAGAAAUUAAAUGGCCGCGGUAUUUUAACCGUGCAAAGGUAGCAUAGUCACUUGUCUCUUAAUUGGAGGCUUGAAUGAAGGGUUGGACGAGAUAUAAACUUUCUUUAUUAUAUAUAGUUGAAUUUGACUUUUGAGUCAAAAGGCUUAGAUUUAUUUAUAGGACGAGAAGACCCUAUAGAAUUUUAUAUUUUUAUUUAAUUAACCUAUUUSUUAAUAAUUGGGUUUUUUUAAUAUAAGUAUUUUGUUGGGGCGAUGGGAAGAUUUUUUUAACUCU
This 303-nucleotide ribosomal RNA is filed under the name Belostoma sp. 25 TBG-2019. Its description in RNAcentral is "partial large subunit ribosomal RNA". The record is from RNAcentral. Lineage: Eukaryota; Metazoa; Arthropoda; Insecta; Hemiptera; Belostomatidae.